RNAcentral lists this ribosomal RNA (253 nucleotides) under uncultured bacterium. RNAcentral describes it as "partial 16S ribosomal RNA". It matches the Rfam family "Bacterial small subunit ribosomal RNA", at positions 524 to 776 of the family's 1533-position model. The record is from RNAcentral.
UACGUAGGGAGCGAGCGUUAUCCGGAUUUACUGGGUGUAAAGGGCGCGUAGGCGGGUACGUAAGUCAGGUGUGAAAUGCCGCAGCUUAACUGCGGAGCUGCAUUUGAAACUGCGUAUCUUGAGUGAUGGAGGGGCAGGCGGAAUUCCCGGUGUAGCGGUGGAAUGCGUAGAUAUCGGGAGGAACACCAGUGGCGAAGGCGGCCUGCUGGACAUUUACUGACGCUGAGGCGCGAAAGCGUGGGGAGCAAACAGG